This 253-nucleotide ribosomal RNA is filed under the name uncultured bacterium. RNAcentral describes it as "partial 16S ribosomal RNA". It matches the Rfam family "Bacterial small subunit ribosomal RNA", at positions 524 to 776 of the family's 1533-position model. The record is from RNAcentral.
UACAGAGGUCUCAAGCGUUGUUCGGAUUCAUUGGGCGUAAAGGGUGUGUAGGUGGCGCCGUAAGUCGGGUGUGAAAUUUCGGAGCUUAACUUCGAAACUGCAUUCGAUACUGCCGUGCUUGAGGACUGGAGAGGAGACUGGAAUUUACGGUGUAGCGGUGAAAUGCGUAGAUAUCGUAAGGAAGACCAGUGGCGAAGGCGGGUCUCUGGACAGUUCCUGACGCUGAGGCACGAAGGUCAGGGGAGCAAACGGG